This 253-nucleotide ribosomal RNA is filed under the name uncultured bacterium. Its description in RNAcentral is "partial 16S ribosomal RNA". It matches the Rfam family "Bacterial small subunit ribosomal RNA", at positions 524 to 776 of the family's 1533-position model. The record is from RNAcentral.
UACGUAGGGUGCGAGCGUUGUCCGGAAUUAUUGGGCGUAAAGAGCUCGUAGGCGGUCUGUCGCGUCGGUCGUGAAAACUUGGGGCUUAACCCUGAGCUUGCGGUCGAUACGGGCAGACUGGAGGUAUGCAGGGGAGAACGGAAUUCCUGGUGUAGCGGUGAAAUGCGCAGAUAUCAGGAGGAACACCGAUGGCGAAGGCAGAUCUCUGGGCCGUAACUGACGCUGAGGCGCGAAAGCUAGGGGAGCAAACAGG